GACGAACGCUGGCGGCGUGCUUAACACAUGCAAGUCGAGCGGUAAGGCCCUUUCGGGGUACGACGAGCGGCGAACGGGUGAGUAACACGUGGGUGACCUGCCUUUAGCUCUGGGAUAAGCCUGGGAAACGUGGGUCUAAUACCGGAUAUGACCCUAUGGCGCAUGUUGUGGGGUGGAAAGCCUUGUGCGGCUAGGGAUGGGCCCGCGGCCUAUCAGCUUGUUGGUGGGGUGAUGGCCUACCAAGGCGACGACGGGUAGCCGGCCUGAGAGGGCGACCGGCCACACUGGGACUG
RNAcentral lists this ribosomal RNA (293 nucleotides) under uncultured bacterium. Its description in RNAcentral is "partial 16S ribosomal RNA". It matches the Rfam family "Bacterial small subunit ribosomal RNA", at positions 28 to 321 of the family's 1533-position model. The record is from RNAcentral.